Molecule: ribosomal RNA, 613 nt
Filed under: Williopsis suaveolens
Lineage: Eukaryota; Fungi; Ascomycota; Saccharomycetes; Phaffomycetales; Wickerhamomycetaceae
Description: LSU rRNA
Rfam family: Eukaryotic large subunit ribosomal RNA
Source: RNAcentral
UGCAACAUAAGCGGAGGAAAAGAAACCAACAGGGAUUGCCUCAGUAACGGCGAGUGAAGCGGCAAAAGCUCAAAUUUGAAAUCUGGUACCUUUGGUGCCCGAGUUGUAAUUUGAAGAUAGUUUUCUGGUGCUGGCCCUUGUCUAUGUUCCUUGGAACAGGACGUCACAGAGGGUGAGAAUCCCGUCUGGCGGGGUGUCCAGUGCUUUGUAGAUUUCUAUCGACGAGUCGAGUUGUUUGGGAAUGCAGCUCUAAGUGGGUGGUAAAUUCCAUCUAAAGCUAAAUAUUGGCGAGAGACCGAUAGCGAACAAGUACAGUGAUGGAAAGAUGAAAAGAACUUUGAAAAGAGAGUGAAAAAGUACGUGAAAUUGUUGAAAGGGAAGGGUAUUAGAUCAGACUUGGUGUUUUGUGAUUAUCUUCCCUUCUUGGGUUGUGCACUCGCAUUUCACUGGGCCAGCAUCGGUUCGGGUGGUAAGAUAAUGACAUUGGAACGUGGCACUGCCUUCGGGUGGUGUGUUAUAGCCCUUGUUGAUGUUGCCUACCUGGACCGAGGACUGCGGCUUUUGCCUAGGAUGCUGGCGUAAUGAUCUAACACCGCCCGUCUUGAACGGACCA